AGUGAACGCUGGCGGUAGGCCUAACACAUGCAAGUCGAACGGCAGCACAGUAAGAGCUUGCUCUUACGGGUGGCGAGUGGCGGACGGGUGAGGAAUACAUCGGAAUCUACUUUUUCGUGGGGGAUAACGUAGGGAAACUUACGCUAGUACCGCAUACGACCUACGGGUGAAAGCAGGGGAUCUUCGGACCUUGCGCGAUUGAAUGAGCCGAUGUCGGAUUAGCUAGUUGGCGGGGUAAAGGCCCACCAAGGCGACGAUCCGUAGCUGGCCUGAGAGGAUGAUCAGCCACACUGGAACUGAGACACGGUCCAGACUCCUACGGGAGGCAGCAGUGGGGAAUAUUGGACAAUGGGCGCAAGCCUGAUCCAGCCAUACCGCGUGGGUGAAGAAGGCCUUCGGGUUGUAAAGCCCUUUUGUUGGGAAAGAAAAGCAGCAGGUUAAUACCCCGCUGUUCUGACGGUACCCAAAGAAUAAGCACCGGCUAACUUCGUG
Molecule: ribosomal RNA, 492 nt
Filed under: uncultured bacterium
Lineage: Bacteria
Description: partial 16S ribosomal RNA
Rfam family: Bacterial small subunit ribosomal RNA
Source: RNAcentral